AAUGCAGUGGUGUAGUGGUUUGAGCAUCGGACUGUGACUCUGGAGAUCAGGGUUCGAUUCCCCCCUUGGCCAUA
This 74-nucleotide transfer RNA is filed under the name Phrynosoma platyrhinos (Desert horned lizard). RNAcentral's name for it is "tRNA-OTHER". The record is from RNAcentral. Lineage: Eukaryota; Metazoa; Chordata; Lepidosauria; Squamata; Phrynosomatidae.